Molecule: ribosomal RNA, 253 nt
Filed under: uncultured bacterium
Lineage: Bacteria
Description: partial 16S ribosomal RNA
Rfam family: Bacterial small subunit ribosomal RNA
Source: RNAcentral
GACAGAGGGUGCGAACGUUGCUCGGAAUCACUGGGCGUAAAGCGCGUGUAGGCGGACGAUCAAGUCAGGUGUGAAAUCCCUGGGCUCAACCCAGGAACUGCAUCUGAAACUGGUUGCCUUGAGUGUUGGAGAGGGAAGCGGAAUUCCUGGUGUAGAGGUGAAAUUCGUAGAUAUCAGGAGGAACACCGGUGGCGAAGGCGACUUCCUGGACAAUUACUGACGCUGAGACGCGAAAGCGUGGGGAGCAAACAGG